AGCCUCGCUGCCGCCUUGCAGUUUGAUCUCAGACUGCUGUGCUAGCCAUCAGCGAGACUCCGUGGGCGUAGGACCCUCCGAGCCAGGUGCGGGAUGUAAUCUCGUGGUGCGCCGCUUUUUAAGCCCGUCGGAAAAGCGCAGUAUUCGGGUGGGAGGGACCCGAUUUUCCAGGUGCCGUCUGUCACCCCUUUCUUUGACUAGGAAAGGGAACUCCCUGACCCCUUGUGCUUCCCGAGUGAGGCAAUGCCUCGCCCUGCUUUGGCUUGCGCACGGUGCGCGCACCCACUGACCUGCGCCCACUGUCUGGCACUCCCUAGUGAGAUGAACCCGGUACCUCAGAUGGAAAUGCAGAAAUCACCUGUCUCUGCGUCGCUCACGCUGGGAGCUGUAGACCGGAGCUGUUCCUAUUCGGCCAUCUUGGCUUCUCCGGCAAUUCUUAAAAACAGUAGAAUCUCAACAUUUGCAGAAAAUCAUUGUUAAAGGCACUUUGGAAAGACAUGAGACAGGAGAAAGAGCACGAAUUAUUCUUAAUUGUUGUGAUGAUUCACAGCUUGUGAAG
This 559-nucleotide small RNA is filed under the name Pan troglodytes (chimpanzee). RNAcentral's name for it is "processed transcript". The record is from RNAcentral. Lineage: Eukaryota; Metazoa; Chordata; Mammalia; Primates; Hominidae.